RNAcentral lists this RNase P RNA (352 nucleotides) under Eubacteriales bacterium. RNAcentral's name for it is "RNase P RNA component class A". It matches the Rfam family "Bacterial RNase P class A". From Rfam's summary of the family: Ribonuclease P (RNase P) is a ubiquitous endoribonuclease, found in archaea, bacteria and eukarya as well as chloroplasts and mitochondria. Its best characterised activity is the generation of mature 5'-ends of tRNAs by cleaving the 5'-leader elements of precursor-tRNAs. Cellular RNase Ps are ribonucleoproteins. The record is from RNAcentral. Lineage: Bacteria; Bacillati; Bacillota; Clostridia; Eubacteriales.
CAGCCAGUCCAGGUGAUCGCGGCUGAACAGACGAAAGGGUUCAGACGAGGAAAGUCCGGGCUUCACAGGGCAGGAUGCCGGAUAACGUCCGGUGGAGGUAACUCCCAGACCAGUGCAACAGAAAUAAACCGCCCCGUUUAUACGAGGUAAGGGUGGAAAGGCAGUGUAAGAGACUACCGCCGCUGUGGUAACAGAGCGGGCACAUGUAAACUCCAUUCGAAGCAAGACCGAGAAGAAAGCCAUACGGCGGCCCGUCGUGCUUUCAGGUAGGUCGCUGGAGCCUUCUGGUAACGGAAGGCCUAGAUAGAUGAUCACUCAACGACAUAACCCGGCUUAUCGGUCUGACUGCGUA